AUACGUAGGUGGCAAGCGUUGUCCGGAUUUACUGGGCGUAAAGGGCGUGUAGGCGGUUCGUUAAGUCCGGUGUGAAAUCUCCCGGCCCAACUGGGAGAGGUCAUCGGAUACUGGCGGACUAGAGGGGGGCAGAGGAAGACGGAAUUCCCGGUGUAGCGGUGAUAUGCGUAGAUAUCGGGAGGAACACCAGUGGCGAAGGCGGUCUUCUGGGCCCAUCCUGACGCUGAGGCGCGAAAGCGUGGGGAGCGAACCGGAUUAGAAACCCCAGUAGUCC
RNAcentral lists this ribosomal RNA (274 nucleotides) under uncultured bacterium. Its description in RNAcentral is "partial 16S ribosomal RNA". It matches the Rfam family "Bacterial small subunit ribosomal RNA", at positions 523 to 796 of the family's 1533-position model. The record is from RNAcentral.